GAUGAAGAACGCAGCGAAAUGCGAUAAGUAAUGCGAAUUGCAGAAUUUCCGUGAGUCAUCGAAUCUUUGAACGCACAUUGCGCCCACUGGUAUUCCGGUGGGCAUGCCUGUUCGAGCGUCAUUAUCCUCCCUCAAGCUCUGCUUGGUGUUGGGCGUCUGUCCCCGCGUCGUGCGAGGACUCGCCCCAAAGUCAUUGGCAGCGGUCGUGCCAGCUUCUCGCGCAGCACAUUUGCGCUUCUCNNNNNNCCGGCGACCAGCGUCCAUCAAGGCCCCUUCUACAGUUUGACCUCGGAUCAGGUAGGGAUACCCGCUGAACUUAAGCAUAUCAAUAAGCGGAGGA
RNAcentral lists this unclassified non-coding RNA (340 nucleotides) under soil metagenome. RNAcentral describes it as "partial contains 5.8S ribosomal RNA, internal transcribed spacer 2, and large subunit ribosomal RNA". The stretch from base 1 to 121 matches the Rfam family "5.8S ribosomal RNA", at positions 35 to 154 of the family's 154-position model. The record is from RNAcentral.